Coturnix japonica (Japanese quail) is the source of this 4791-nucleotide non-coding RNA. Lineage: Eukaryota; Metazoa; Chordata; Aves; Galliformes; Phasianidae. The record is from RefSeq and is a predicted model, not a curated record.
GAGCCGUGGCCCUGUGGCAGCAGUUCUGUUUGUGACACUGAGUUAUCAGUGACAGCCCAGGUCUUGGUGGGCUUGCGGCCCCAGUGCAGCGCCAUUGGAAAACAGAGGUGGAACGUUCACGCUCUGCUCCUUGUGCUGCACGCUCUGUCAGAGGCCAAGUGCUGGGAGUGAAUCAGCGAGUUGUGAGGGUUUGACACCGGUCAGUGCUUUAUUUAUUUGCUGUGGCUGUUUAGAAACUGUCCGAAUUUCUGUUAGCACAAUGGGAAGAUGUUUUGCAUCCAAAGGAUUAUUGUCAGGAACAGCUGAGAAAAUUCGUUGUUAGGAAAACAGCUGAGCAAACACACAACAUGGAGUCGUAUGCUGGCUGUUGUGCUUUACUGCAUUUAUGAUCAUCUGUGGCUGUAUAGAUAGAGAAUGGCCGGGUUAUCUUUAGAGCUCCCCUGGGAUUUGAAUUCACACAGAGACAGAAAUGACCUGUUUGUUUUCAGUCCUAUUUCUUCAUCAUUUUGCGUGUUGUAAAAGUUGUCUUGAUACUGAUUAUUUAUCGACAAAGGGAAAUAUUACUUGUUGCCCACCUGUUCACAGUGCAAGAGGACUUGUCUGCUUAUUUUUCACUCCAUUCUCUUCCUGCUUCUGUGCUGCAUGCAGGGCAGAUUGUAUUGCUCUGCAACACCGGAUGUGCUGAAAUACCAUCACCUUGUCUCUGUUUAACUUUACCUUUGCAGGUGCAGAAAUCCGUGGCUUUCUGCUUCUAGUGCAGAUUACGUGUUGUAUCCGAGUCCUCAGAGUAGUGCAAACCGAACUGAAGUGGCUUUUUGCUUUGACAGCCUUGCAGUCUCUGACUUUCUGGCAGUACUCAGUGAUGGCUUUCAUUUUCCAAAAAGUGUGAGUAGUUUGGAGACUCUCAAAGCUACAUUUACGGUAAAUGAUGCUGCAGUAAUGAUGGGUCAAUUCAGAUUCAGACUGUAAUAUGGGGGGAAAAAAAAGCCAAACACCUUCAAUAAAGAAUAACGUUAAAGUGACUUCAGACAGCAACUUAAUAGUUCCGUAUCAUUAUGUGUGUAAUUAAAAGCCUUUACCCUUGAAAACGGAGUUGCCUGGGUUUGUUAAUCAUCAUUCUUUACUACGGUGAAAUAGACUGAGGUAAAUUCUUACGGUGUUAAGAAUGGCUUCAUGCUGUAAUGUGAAAAUCCAUUUUUCACAGAGCAACAAUUUCUCUCUUAAUGCUUUUCUCCACUCUUGGUGCUGUCUGAAAUGAUGGCAGUGUCACCAUAACACGAAGGCUUCAAGUGUAACAUUCCCAGCAUUAUCUUCAGCUGCGCUUCAACUCUGCUCUGUAACAUCUGUUGAAAAGCACUGGGCUGGGUGACCCAAAGCAUCUGAUAACACAGCAGCAGAAGUUACUCGUGUCACAGUGAGCUCUACCCAAAGACUCCUCUCUGGCUUCAGUUGCUCUUGUUGCAUUAAGGGGACACCUCACACAAAUUAAGUUUAUUUUUUAAGCAGGUAACCAUUACUUCUUUGUGUUAAUGGUCCCACAGAGCUUCAGUGCCUGAACUGUCCUGCAGCUGGAAUAUUCCCUCUACCCUGAGGCAGCUUUUGUGCUGCUGGAAGUGGCUUUGGGGGAGGGAGGGAGGGAGGAUGUGGUUGGGAUUGAAGUGUUACGGUCAUCUUCUGGGCAGACUUGCUCUUUAGGGUUCAGCUGUUUCAGUCAUGUUGGCAAAUCUCUGCUCUAUCCAUCUUUGUCACCCACACAAUUGAUUGCACAGAACAUUUUGCUCCUUUGGAACCUGUCACAUAAUGAAGAUUUUUUUUUUUUUUAAACUAUCUCUUUACAUUUAGCUUUUAAAAAGUAGUGUAAUAAUCGUCCUUGAAAGCAGUUUGAAAUGGUGCUGGACAGUAACUGCUGCUGUUGGAUAGAAGCUGUUACAAUCAGGCUUUUUUUGGAAGCCCUCUCCUUGCAUCCAGGCCCUCAGGACAUGAAGUGCCAGGUGUGUUGGAUAGCAAACCCUGUGGGAGCUUAGUGCUGCUCCUGUGCUUGCCCAAGUCUUGCACCCAUGUCGUGGCUAUUUGAGGGACUGAUAGUGUUCUGCAGGGAAGAUAAACCUGCAAAAGGAAAGCAUGAGAGAAGCCAGUGGCAGAGCUGGAGCUUUGCCUGGAUGUCAGGAGAGCUUCCAUGUGGCUCUGAGGUCUUUGGAGACCCCAUCUACAGCUCUGAGCACACAGUAUUCCCUUUGUAAACCUGCCCCAAGAUCCUUCUGGAAGACGUCUGGUUUUUGAGAAUUCCCAUUUAGCUGCAGGCUGGCCAGAUCCCAUCAGAAACUGGUGACCUUGAUGAUGCUGCUUUAGUGAUGGCCAGACCUUAGAGCUGCAGGAAAGUGAAUUCCUAUCCAAAAUGUGGUAUUUCACCUUGAGGUAAAAUCAGCUACGGAGUAAAUCUGUGCUCCAUAGGAAGUCCAAAACAAGGCUUUUAUUAAAUUUUACCCGGAGCUUGUAUAACAGUGUUACACAUGGCUCAAUCAUUAAAAUAAUAAUAAAAAAAUCACUGGUGUGGUUUCAAAGGCAGGAAAUAAAGCAGGGUCUGUGCAGCAGCUAGGCGUUAAUUAAGGUAGAACUGAGCGCUGUUAUUUCAGCCAACUUGCUGGUGGGGCCACGUCACACUUCCUUCAGCUCUGCCAGGAGCUGCUCCCUCCUUGUGCUGGCGGCCUCUGUCCAUCUCAGCUCUUGCUAAGCCUGCUCACAGUGGCUCUGGCUGCUGCUGGGCCCUCAAGUAACGAGCCUGGUAACUCAAAUAACGAACAGGCUGGUAGGUUUGGUGGCUUGAGCUCUCCCUCAACUUACUCGCCAUGCUGAUGUGUCCUAAUGUUGGUCUGUUUUCUGAGGUGACAAGCCAUAGGGUUUGAGUAAGCAGCCUCAAACUGUGCCAAGGGAGGGGCUUAGAUUGGAGAUGAGGAAGGAUUUCUGCAUGAAAAAGGUUGUUAGGGGUUGGAAAGUGCUGCUCAGGAAAGUGGAGUCCCCGUCCCAGGUGGUAUGUAAAACAUGUGGAUGUGACGUGCUUUAAUGGUGAACUUGUGUUAGGUGAUGGUUGGACUUGGUGAUCAUGAAGGUUAUUUCCAACCUAAAUGAUUCUAUGACUCUGAACUACAGGUUUGAGAGGCUUUUCAACGCUCCAGCAAUCUGUAGAGUGUUGUCUGUAUAUUGAUCUUGUGUCCUUUUUCCCUACUGCUGACAAGCAAUAUGAAUGCUGCACGCUCUCAUCUGCCGUUCUGUUGUUUGUUUGUUUUUAAUGUCUCAGUAACACGCAUUGCCCCAGGGGGAAAUUUAAAUGAUAAAAAUUAAUCCUUGUUGGAUUGUUUGCUUGAAUUUCAAGCUAUUUUGCAGUUCCAGAAGCACGAUGGUGUCAGUCGCAGGAUCCAGGGGCCAGGUUAAUCCAAAGUGAUUUGCAAAUGCUUGUAAUUUGGGCUGUGGUGAGAAACUAUUCAGCUUAAGGUGGCUAAUAAGUUCAUGCUGUAAUGUGGAUGAUAAUAAGUUCUUCAGACGUCUAGACGUGUGAUUACACCGAGUGCAGCUAAAUGAAAUCUUCUGUGCACGUGUUACUUGUAGGAGAUCCGAUGCCCGGCAGCAUCAGUGCGGUGGAGGCAGUCAGCUGUGCAAAAGGAGACAACAGAUUGCUGUGAAGUCUGGUUGGAGGGUUGUCGGUGCAUUUUGAAGGCUUUUCUUGUGCAACCAACCAUUGGAAGGAGACGGAAUUUCUCAGCCCCUUGUUUCAAGCGACUUCAGCCUGUUCUCUGCAGCUCAGCUCCCUCUGCUCCCCCACCCUGGUGAACAAAAGACCCUAAUUGGAGGAUGAGGCAGCUGAGAGGAAAGCCCAAAAAAGAGACCUCCAAAGAUAAAAAGGAGAGGAAACAGGCGAUGCAAGAGGCCCGACAACAGAUCACCACGGUCGUGCUUCCCACGCUGGCUGUUGUAGUACUGCUGAUUGUCGUGUUUGUUUAUGUAGCAACUCGUCCAAAUACAACUGAAUGAUGCAGCUUUUCAGACCUUCUAACUUUGGGGUAUUAAUACUUUUUAUCAAGAGCCAAAAGAAACUCUCUGCCACUCUUAAUGCUUCACAAAGGAACUUGCUGGUACCUUCGGUCUUUCUCUUGGUUAGGAUUCCACAGUUUCUCUUUAGGAAUAUAACAUAAAACGUAUUAGUGAAUGUGCCAGUACGUUUUAUGGUCCAGCUCAUGUGCCUUUCAGACUUUUACAAUAGUGUUUUUCUUAAAUCUGUUUGAAGUUCUAUAUUGUAAAAGGAAAUUCUGUUCCGCUAUAAAUUUGUAAAAAAAAAAAUCAGCUUUCAGCUUUUAUCACUGUUGCGGAUAAUGUUGCUCCCAUGAGCUCUUGUAUGUCUAUUUCAGAACUUCCAAAGAAGUACAUUUUUUCUUUGUACUUAAUGUCAUAUGAAACACUUUGAUUCAGAAAGGAUAUAUUUAUUUUUUUGAAUAAAAGAGAGAAGUACUUGGAAUCUUAUUUUGCAAAAAAAAAAAAGAAAUGUGACUUAUUGUGAAAGACUACAUUGUGUAAUAAUUUUUUCAUUAAACACUAUAUAGUUCACUCAAAAAGAACUUCUCUUUGCAGCGAGAUGCGUGCGUGCCAAGUGAACACUCAGGACCCACCGAAGUUGGGAAAGCAGAUUCUACCAUUUCUGCUGAUUUUAGUGAAGCAGCUAACUCCAAACUGCAUAAGCACAGUACGAGUGUUAAGUAUUUAAAUCCAUGAUGUGGCAGUAAAAAGUGGUUUUGGAUACAG